RNAcentral lists this long non-coding RNA (939 nucleotides) under Gopherus agassizii (Agassiz's desert tortoise). Its description in RNAcentral is "lncRNA (ENSGAGG00000017174.1)". Lineage: Eukaryota; Metazoa; Chordata; Testudines; Testudinidae. The record is from RNAcentral.
UUUGCAGGAACCUGUCAUGAUGGCUAUUACUGUGAUAUGAAAUCCACACGGCCAGACCAGAAACGCUGUCCACCUGGCUCAUACUGCCCCAAAGGCACGGAGUCCCCAAUUCCAUGUGCUGCUGGAAGCCUCAACCCACACGAUAGGAAAUGGCACUCAACAGACUGUCAGCCCUGCCCGGCUGGAUAUUUCUGCAGUGGGCUAGGAAAAACUGCUGCAGAGGGACUGUGCUCUGCUGGUUACUACUGCCCACCAGGCCAGACCUCAGCCACUCCUCUCUCCCAUCGCUGCCCCCGUGGGUUCUACUGCCCUGCAGGAUCUGCCAUUCCCAUGGCCUGUGAGAGGGGGACCUACCAGACACAGGAAGGGAAAGAAUCAUGCUACAUCUGCCCAGCAGGAUUCUUCUGUGAACCAUCCAGCAAAAGUUCUGGGACACAGACUCCCAGGCUGUGCCCUACAGGAUACUUCUGUCCACCUGGUACCAGCUUUGGUACAGAACAUCCAUGUCCAAGGGGUACAUUUGGACCCAAGACUGGUGCCACUGGUGAAUCUCACUGUGAGCCCUGCCCAGCAGGCACAUAUUGCUCAUCUACAGCACUGUCCCAGCCAUCGGGGCUUUGCCACUCAGGGUAUUACUGCACCCAGGGAGCCAUCCACCCAGCCCCCAUCAGACACAAGGCGGAAUCUGCUGGCCUACCUCUGCCUGGAAAUGAUAUCUGCCCUCCUGGGCAUUUCUGCCCCAGUGGCACAAGCCAUCCUGUGCCCUGCCCUCCUGGAACCUAUUCCACCUCCCUGGGCCUGGGAGCAGAGGAGCAGUGCCAGCCCUGCCCAGCGGGACAGUACUGUAGUCAGGCAGGAUUGUCUGAUCUGUCCCAGACAUCGCCGUGUAGUGCAGGGUGUGGCAGUGUGGUCAUUCUCCUUUUUGUAUUGACAAACUGA